Molecule: non-coding RNA, 145 nt
Organism: Gossypium hirsutum (cotton)
Lineage: Eukaryota; Viridiplantae; Streptophyta; Magnoliopsida; Malvales; Malvaceae
Source: Rfam
UGUUAAAGAUUUUAUCCAUUUCUACUGUUAAAAACUAACGUAACUGACAGAAUAACUAGACAAAUACAUGUGUCAUACUAUGUGUACCUCAUUAUGUCAUACAGUGACCAACUUUUAAUAAUAGAAAUGGAUAAAACUUUUAACA